AACGAACGCUGGCGGCAGGCCUAACACAUGCAAGUCGAACGGAACUUCGGUUCAGUGGCGGACGGGUGAGUAACGCGUGGGAACCUAUCUUUCGGUACGGAAUAACGCAUGGAAACGUGUGCUAAUACCGUAUACGCCCUAAGGGGGAAAGUUUUUCGCCGAGAGGAGGGCCCGCGUUGGAUUAGGUAGUUGGUGGGGUAAUGGCCCACCAAGCCGACGAUCUAUAGCUGGUUUGAGAGGAUGAUCAGCCACACUGGGACUGAGACACGGCCCAGACUCCUACGGGAGGCAGCAGUGAGGAAUCUUAGACAAUGGGGGAAACCCUGAUCUAGCCAUGCCGCGUGAGUGAUGAAGGCCCUAGGGUUGUAAAGCUCUUUCACCGGUGAAGAUAAUGACGGUAGCCGGAGAAGAAGCCCCGGCUAACUCCG
RNAcentral lists this ribosomal RNA (428 nucleotides) under uncultured Alphaproteobacteria bacterium. Its description in RNAcentral is "bacterial SSU rRNA". It matches the Rfam family "Bacterial small subunit ribosomal RNA", at positions 29 to 505 of the family's 1533-position model. Lineage: Bacteria; Pseudomonadati; Pseudomonadota; Alphaproteobacteria. The record is from RNAcentral.